GAUGAAGAACGCAGCGAAAUGCGAUAAGUAAUGUGAAUUGCAGAAUUCAGUGAAUCAUCGAAUCUUUGAACGCACAUUGCGCCCGCCAGCAUUCUGGCGGGCAUGCCUGUUCGAGCGUCAUUUCAACCCUCGAGCCCCCCCGGGGGCCUCGGUGUUGGGGGACGGCACACCAGCCGCCCCCGAAAUGCAGUGGCGACCCCGCCACAGCCUCCCCUGCGUAGUAGCACACACCUCGCACCGGAGCGCGGAGGCGGUCACGCCGUAAAACGCCCAACUUUCUUAGAGUUGACCUCGGAUCAGGUAGGAAUACCCGCUGAACUUAAGCAUAUCAAUAAGCGGAGGA
Molecule: unclassified non-coding RNA, 343 nt
Filed under: soil metagenome
Description: partial contains 5.8S ribosomal RNA, internal transcribed spacer 2, and large subunit ribosomal RNA
Rfam family: 5.8S ribosomal RNA (bases 1-120)
Source: RNAcentral